This 287-nucleotide ribosomal RNA is filed under the name uncultured bacterium. RNAcentral describes it as "partial 16S ribosomal RNA". It matches the Rfam family "Bacterial small subunit ribosomal RNA", at positions 28 to 301 of the family's 1533-position model. The record is from RNAcentral.
GAUGAACGCUGGCGGCGUGCCUAACACAUGCAAGUCGAACGAAGCAACUGGAGGAAGUUUUCGGAUGGAAUCCGGUUGACUGAGUGGCGGACGGGUGAGUAACGCGUGGAUAACCUGCCUCACACUGGGGGAUAACAGUUAGAAAUGGCUGCUAAUACCGCAUAAGCGCACAGUACCGCAUGGUACGGUGUGAAAAACCCAGGUGGUGUGAGAUGGAUCCGCGUCUGAUUAGCCAGUUGGCGGGUAACGCCCACCGAACCGACGAUAGAUAGGGGUUCUGAGAGGAA